Molecule: ribosomal RNA, 800 nt
Filed under: uncultured Bacteroidota bacterium
Lineage: Bacteria; Pseudomonadati; Bacteroidota
Description: bacterial SSU rRNA
Rfam family: Bacterial small subunit ribosomal RNA
Source: RNAcentral
UUUCCGUAGCAAUACGGGGAUGGGCGCACGGCGCACGGGUGCGUAACACGUGGGCAAUCUGCCCUCCGAUGGGGAAUACCCCCGCGAAAGCGGGACUAAUUCCGCAUAACAUUCCUUGGAUUAACUUUCGAGGAUUCAAAGCAGCAAUGCGUCGGAGGAGGAGCCUGCGCCCGAUUAGCUAGUUGGUGAGGUAACGGCUCACCAAGGCAAUGAUCGGUAGCUGGUCUGAGAGGAUGGCCAGCCACACUGGAACUGAGACACGGUCCAGACUCCUACGGGAGGCAGCAGUGGGGAAUCUUGCACAAUGGGCGAAAGCCUGAUGCAGCGACGCCGCGUGGGGGAUGAAGCUUUUCGGAGUGUAAACCCCUUUCGACUGGGACGAAUGCCUCGCAAGAGGAGUGACGGUACCAGUAUAAGAAGCCCCGGCUAACUACGUGCCAGCAGCCGCGGUAAGACGUAGGGGGCCAGCGUUGUUCGGAAUUACUGGGUGUAAAGGGUUCGUAGGCGGUGUGGCAAGUCGGGAGUGAAAUCUCUGGGCUCAACCCAGAGACUGCUUCCGAAACUGCUGUGCUUGAGUGUGAGAGAGGCUCGUGGAAUUGCAGGUGUAGCGGUGAAAUGCGUAGAUAUCUGCAGGAACACCCGUGGCGAAAGCGGCGAGCUGGAUCACUACUGACGCUGAGGAACGAAAGCUAGGGGAGCAAACAGGAUUAGAUACCCUGGUAGUCCUAGCCCUAAACGAUCAGGACUUGGGGUGCCGCCCGUUCGGGCGUCGUCCCGGAGCUAACGCGUUAAGUCCUGCA